This 293-nucleotide small RNA is filed under the name Skeletonema dohrnii. RNAcentral describes it as "partial transfer-messenger RNA". It matches the Rfam family "transfer-messenger RNA", at positions 82 to 374 of the family's 374-position model. From Rfam's summary of the family: Bacterial tmRNA, also known as 10Sa RNA or SsrA, is named for its dual tRNA and mRNA-like properties. Its role is to liberate the mRNA from a stalled ribosome. To accomplish this part of the tmRNA is used as a reading frame that ends in a translation stop signal. Lineage: Eukaryota; Bacillariophyta; Thalassiosirophyceae; Thalassiosirales; Thalassiosiraceae. The record is from RNAcentral.
ACAAAGUAACUGCAAACGACUCUACGUUCGCACUCGCCGCUUAAUUGCGGUUGAGCUUCUCAACGGCAGGCCGAUGGGCCGGGCUGAGUUCCAUUCGGGGCAAGGCUGAGAAGUCACUCACAUCGGCUGGCAACGCGCUGGGUCACUCAGCGCAUUGCGAGAUCAAGUGACUGGCGGAAAAGCUAGCGUGCCACUGCGCGAGUUGACCGUGAGAUUCAAAUCAGCCGGCUAAGCAUGUAGAUCUGCCCGGUGAUGGCUUGCGGACGGGGGUUCAAUUCCCCCCGGCUCCACCA